UUGAGAUGUAUACGGCCUAUGCUAAUAGGCAAAGGUGCAGGUGUGACUAUUCUCAGAACUAAGAUAAGAUAAUCAUUUAUCAACUGCUUUCCUAUAUUAGUCAUAUCUUCUUAGCCAGUGUAAGGUGCACAAUGGUCUGACUCAGAUGUGAAAUGAUGCAACAGAACUUCUAUAAUUGGCAGGAGCAGAAGAAUGGCAUCAAGUUUUAUGUUAAGUUAUUUAAACUUACUAGCAGCUAUCCUGCUGUCAGUCACUGGAGGUUUGGCUGAAACUGUGCGAUGUCCACGGUACUGUGUUUGCUAUCUCAACACCACCAACUACAUGAGGAGUGUGUCCUGUGUGGCCAGGAGGCUAGACAACAUAGAUUUGUCUGUUCCAAGACGGGUACAAAGCUUGGAUUUGUCAAACAACUCCAUCUCUGUUCUCGAAGAUAGAGGGUUUCAAAACCUUGGACUGAUUGAAAUUGUAAGACUGGUCAUGCGACACAACUCACUUCGCACAAUUGGACUGCACAGUUUUACAGGAUUGACGUACUUGCACUCAGUUGACUUAGCGGCAAAUAACUUAUACCAGAUCCUUCCAUGGACUUUUCAUGAAAACAGUAAUUUGAAGUUUGUCAGUCUUUCUGGUAACCCGUUGGGUCAUGUUGUGUCUUCUGGACCAUUCCUUGACGUUCCAUCCUUGGAGGUAAGUAGAGCGAACUUGUGCACAACGGUAGU
RNAcentral lists this long non-coding RNA (719 nucleotides) under Homalodisca vitripennis (glassy-winged sharpshooter). Its description in RNAcentral is "uncharacterized LOC124362687, transcript variant X4". Lineage: Eukaryota; Metazoa; Arthropoda; Insecta; Hemiptera; Cicadellidae. The record is from RNAcentral.